GGUGGAUAGCUCAUUAUGUUAGGUUGUAGUCCUGAAUCAGAAGGAAUAUUUUCUAUAUCGACCUCAACUUCCUCAGAAAUCACCUGCUUACGUGGUUUGGUUGAACAGGUUGAUUGAUUGAUAAUGAGUCUGCAGUAUUUGAUUUUCUUUUAAAAAUCGCGCCAUGUAUAUAGAGCUAGCCAAAUGAUUCAAGAAAUUGUGAAGUAGAAAGAAGGAAGAAGCGAGGUGAGGUCAAAGAGAGAAAUAACAAAGAAGAUGAUUUCCUUUGUGGCAGAGCAGUGGAGAAAUGAGUGAUGCAACUGUUUUAAAAAAAUUUUAGGGUUAGGAAGUGAAAUUACUAAUAUACUCUCAAAUUUUUUAAAAAUUUCAGGGGGCUUAGUGCCUCUCUUGGUUUAGUGUUGCCUCUGUCCCUGAGUAGAAAGAAGGAAGGAGUGAGGUGAGGUAAAAGAGAGAAAUAGCCAAGAGAUG
This 468-nucleotide unclassified non-coding RNA is filed under the name Hevea brasiliensis (rubber tree). The record is from RNAcentral. Lineage: Eukaryota; Viridiplantae; Streptophyta; Magnoliopsida; Malpighiales; Euphorbiaceae.